RNAcentral lists this long non-coding RNA (431 nucleotides) under Actinidia chinensis (golden kiwifruit). RNAcentral describes it as "long non-coding RNA (ACHI_LNC000109)". Lineage: Eukaryota; Viridiplantae; Streptophyta; Magnoliopsida; Ericales; Actinidiaceae. The record is from RNAcentral.
GGAAAAAGUUAUUCCUCAGCUAUCCUCCAGCCAAACAGGUCCUUAGGGCAAACAGAGUUAUAGCCUCUCAUUUGAGAGAGAGAGAGAGAGAACCUGAAAGUGGAAUGCAUAUGUUAGUUGUCCCAAUUUUUAAUCCAUUUCUGGAAGCAGUAGGAAAAUUUUGUUACGAGUUUUAAUUUCCUGAAGUAACAGAAAUUACAACUUUCCUAAAGUUGUGCCUAAUUCCGCACAAGUUUUGGUAGAGUCAUAUUUGCCGUGUCACCAACUUUCCAUCGUGAUCACGAAAAUCUUUUUGUGAAGUGAAUCCACUUUUGCCAAAAAUUAACAUGGAUUUGGUUUUACCAAAAUAGAUUCGAACCAGUGAAGAAGUAUUGCCAUUUUUUUUUUGCAUUUUGAACCCGUAGCUAGCUAAAAAAACAAGUGGAGAUGCU